AGCGGCGAGUGAAGCGGCAAAAGCUCAAAUUUGAAAUCUGGCACUUUCAGUGUCCGAGUUGUAAUUUGAAGAAGGUAUCUUUGGGUCUGGCUCUUGUCUAUGUUUCUUGGAACAGAACGUCACAGAGGGUGAGAAUCCCGUGCGAUGAGAUGUCCCAGACCUAUGUAAAGUUCCUUCGAAGAGUCGAGUUGUUUGGGAAUGCAGCUCUAAGUGGGUGGUAAAUUCCAUCUAAAGCUAAAUAUUGGCGAGAGACCGAUAGCGAACAAGUACAGUGAUGGAAAGAUGAAAAGAACUUUGAAAAGAGAGUGAAAAAGUACGUGAAAUUGUUGAAAGGGAAGGGCUUGAGAUCAGACUUGGUAUUUUGUAUGUUACUCUCUCGGGGGUGGCCUCUACAGUUUACCGGGCCAGCAUCAGUUUGAGCGGUAGGAUAAGUGCAAAGAAAUGUGGCACUGCUUCGGUAGUGUGUUAUAGUCUUUGUCGAUACUGCCAGCUUAGACUGAGGACUGCGGCUUCGGCCUAGGAUGUUGGCAUAAUGAUCUUAAGUCGCCCGUCUUGAA
Molecule: ribosomal RNA, 557 nt
Filed under: Lodderomyces parapsilosis
Lineage: Eukaryota; Fungi; Ascomycota; Pichiomycetes; Serinales; Debaryomycetaceae
Description: Candida parapsilosis partial large subunit ribosomal RNA
Rfam family: Eukaryotic large subunit ribosomal RNA
Source: RNAcentral